This 586-nucleotide ribosomal RNA is filed under the name uncultured bacterium. RNAcentral's name for it is "bacterial SSU rRNA". It matches the Rfam family "Bacterial small subunit ribosomal RNA", at positions 338 to 916 of the family's 1533-position model. The record is from RNAcentral.
CCUACGGGAGGCAGCAGUGGGGAAUUUUGGACAAUGGGCGCAAGCCUGAUCCAGCAAUGCCGCGUGAGUGAAGAAGGCCUUCGGGUUGUAAAGCUCUUUUGUCAGGGAAGAAACGGUGGGGGCUAAUAUCUCCUACUAAUGACGGUACCUGAAGAAUAAGCACCGGCUAACUACGUGCCAGCAGCCGCGGUAAUACGUAGGGUGCAAGCGUUAAUCGGAAUUACUGGGCGUAAAGCGUGCGCAGGCGGUUUUGUAAGUCUGUCGUGAAAGCCCCGGGCUCAACCUGGGAAUUGCGAUGGAGACUGCAAGGCUUGAAUCUGGCAGAGGGGGGUAGAAUUCCACGUGUAGCAGUGAAAUGCGUAGAGAUGUGGAGGAACACCGAUGGCGAAGGCAGCCCCCUGGGUCAAGAUUGACGCUCAUGCACGAAAGCGUGGGGAGCAAACAGGAUUAGAUACCCUGGUAGUCCACGCCCUAAAACGAUGUCUACUAGUUGUCGGGUUUUAAUUAACUUGGUAACGCAGCUAACGCGUGAAGUAGACCGCCUGGGGAUACGGUCGCAAGAUUAAAACUCAAAAGGAAUUGACGG